This 271-nucleotide ribosomal RNA is filed under the name uncultured prokaryote. RNAcentral's name for it is "partial 16S ribosomal RNA". It matches the Rfam family "Bacterial small subunit ribosomal RNA", at positions 524 to 794 of the family's 1533-position model. The record is from RNAcentral.
CACGUAGGAGGCAAACGUUAUCCGGAUUUAUUGGGCGUAAAGCGCGUGUAGGUGGUUCUGUAAGUAGGGCGUGAAAGCUCCUGGCUCAACCGGGAGAGGCCGUUCUAUACUGCAGAGCUAGAGGAUGGUAGAGGGAGGUGGAAUUCCAGGUGUAGCGGUGGAAUGCGCAGAUAUCUGGAGGAACACCAGUGGCGAAGGCGGCCUCCUGGACCAUUCCUGACACUCAGGCGCGAAAGCGUGGGGAGCGAACGGGAUUAGAUACCCGGGUAGU